Molecule: long non-coding RNA, 440 nt
Filed under: Helianthus annuus (common sunflower)
Lineage: Eukaryota; Viridiplantae; Streptophyta; Magnoliopsida; Asterales; Asteraceae
Description: hypothetical non coding rna
Source: RNAcentral
UUUUAUGGAGCUACACAUAUUGGUGGUUGUUUAGGGGAGUUAACGGGCUCUCAUAUUCAUCGCUUUUCAUGGAGAAGGUAUAUAUCCGGCAACCCUUAGACGUGAAGCCCAACUUUGGAAAGGUCUAGAACAAAAAUGAUGAUUUACAUGGGCUUCAAUGCCGGUUAUUGGACUUGGGUUUGACUUGAAUGAUGGCAAGAAGCUUGAAGUUUGUUGCUGAUGCGUAUGAAAGUCGAUAGAGUUUUAAAGAUUGAUGUUUUUUUUGUUUGAACUGUAUUUAGUCUUGAUUUUGGUUGUUUUCGUUUAUUUUUUGUUUGGAUUUUGAAUAGGUUUUAUGUUUGUAAUACUUGGGUUGUGUGUGGUCGCGAGUAGAGUUAGAAGUAGUAAUUGUUAUUUGUUAGAGUGGUUGGGGUAGGGGUUUGUUAAAACCCGUUCUGUAA